This 433-nucleotide ribosomal RNA is filed under the name uncultured bacterium. RNAcentral's name for it is "partial 16S ribosomal RNA". It matches the Rfam family "Bacterial small subunit ribosomal RNA", at positions 29 to 507 of the family's 1533-position model. The record is from RNAcentral.
AACGAACGCUGGCGGCAUGCCUAACACAUGCAAGUCGAACGAGACCUUCGGGUCUAGUGGCGCACGGGUGCGUAACGUGUGGGAACCUGCCCUUAGGUUUGGAAUAACCCCCCGAAAGGGGUGCUAAUACCGGAUAAUGUCGUCGGACCAAAGAUUUAUCGCCUCUGGAUGGGCCCGCGUUGGAUUAGCUAGUUGGUAGGGUAAAAGCCUACCAAGGCGACGAUCCAUAGCUGGUCUGAGAGGGUGAUCGGCCACACUGGGACUGAGACACGGCCCAGACUCCUACGGGAGGCAGCAGUGGGGAAUAUUGGACAAUGGGCGAAAGCCUGAUCCAGCGAUGCCGCGUGAGUGAUGAAGGCCUUAGGGUUGUAAAGCUCUAUUAGCCGGGAUGAUAAUGACAGUACCGGGAGAAUAAGCUCCGGCUAACUCCGUG